CUUUGCCACGGACACGCUCCAUCUCUUGCCACAGGAUCACCUUUGGAAAAGGGAAGGUCUCUGUCACCCUGUUCAGGGUCGGAAAACCAAAGGUUGCUUUUCAACGUUCGCUGGACGACAUCGAACAAACCGUCUCCCAACAGCUGCCUCGCUUUCCCUGUUUGCAAAUGAGGGAUAACAACACCUCUCCAGUCAAGUCCUUGUGCUAAAAACACCACAGAAGACCCGGGGUUGUUGUUGGAGAGGCAGGAAUUCCUGAGCCAGGGCAGGAACAGCCAUUAUUUGCAUCACUUGUAGCUACUGGGUGUUUUCUGAACCAGCCUCACUCCAUCCUGUCAAAGACAGCGCUCCUGGCUGCUCUCCUGGAGGUGCUUCUUCAGCCCAAAGCUGCACGUUAAUGACUUAAUUGCAUGGAAAUUGCUGGAAUCUGUAGCAGGAACCGUGACCCAGGGAUGCUGAAAUCAGGCAUGUAACAACAAAGCCCUCUUACCUCACAACCUCAAAGUUUUGCUGCCAAGAGGAGAAGGAACUGGAAUGAUCUGUACUCGGCCAGCAGCUCAACGGACAUGUUGGAGGAGAUUCCAAGCACCGGUUGCCUGGUUGGCAUUUUCUCCCAGCCACAGGUACAGGUUUUUUAACCCCACUGGAAGUCAGCAGAUGAUCCAGUGUGACCUCCUGCCACCUCCUGCCCGUCCCAAGGAGUUCCUGUGGCACCCAGGCAGGACACAGAGGAUUUUCCUGUUCCCUCAGCUUUUCCCAUCUUUAAUUAUUGCAGCACUUGAACCAGGCGGCUCUUGGAAAAUUCGCUCUUGGAAAAGCAAACAGUGCCGAUGGAUGGCAAACAGAGGACUUCUCCCUGUUGAUUCCCACAGAUUUGGGCUUGUUUAAAGCUUCCAUAAUGAGCUAAAGGAAAUACAGGCACAUUUCAAUUAAAGAGCUACGAUAUCCCUGGGGAAACCUCUCCAAGAAAACUGUGUGAGGAAACAACCUGACUGCUCUCCAGUUUGGGUUUGGAUCCAUGAAAUUAAGUUCUCCUGAAGAAUAAAAUAUUUCCUGUUUUAGACAACUUGGAGCCAAGUGAUGUUGAUCCAUUUUCCUCCAAUAAAGCUCAGGCCGUUGGAUUUAACCCCAGGUUUAACUUUUCCCCAAAGAUCCACCAUAAAAUUGAGGCUUGUUCACUUGGCAUGAAUUUCCCUGUGGUGAUGGAAAGGUUUCAAGGAAUGAAUAUCCAGGAGUACUAAAAAUGACUCUUAGUUUUGAACAGUGAACCACCAAUAACAAGCUCCCAGCCCUGAAGAGCUUUGAGUGUUCCUACUCCAUUUUUAAGCUGCAUCCACAUCGUUGGAAGUGUCCAAAAAAAACCAAAAAACCACGUGGAAGUGGCACCUGAGGAUACGGUUUUCAGAGUCACAGAAUCAUCAGAGUGGGAAGGGACCUCUGGGGAUCACCCAGUGCUGGUCUGAUGGUUGGACUUGAUGAUCUUGGAAGUCUUCUCCCACCUGAACAAUCCUAAGAUUCCAUGAUUUUGAAGUUCCAUCCCACCCCACUUUUAAAUCUCCUGCUUGGUUUGGGAACUGCUGUUGCACACUGGGUUGGACAAUGUGUUGGACAGGCUGGACAAGCUGAAUUGUAGAAAAAAAGUCCCUUUAAUAACAGUGGAGUCGAUGUCCCAAAACCUGACGACUCCCAAGGGACUGGGGAUGGGAUUCAGGACAAGAGCAGUGAGGAAUUAGAAGGAUCUCCUCACCUUUCCAAUGGAUAAAGAGACAAAUCGCAGCAAAACUUCCAUGACAGGGGGUGAAGACUGUCAGGAUUUGUAUCCCAGCUCCCUGGAUUUUUCCAGACCCCUCUGCAAUGCCCCUGGGGUGGGGGACAGGAAAGAAUUCCCCAUCCUGUGGGACCCCUGAGCUUUUCUCCACA
This is a long non-coding RNA of Lepidothrix coronata (blue-crowned manakin), 1920 nucleotides long. RefSeq lists it as uncharacterized. The transcript is spliced from 3 exons. Lineage: Eukaryota; Metazoa; Chordata; Aves; Passeriformes; Pipridae. The record is from RefSeq and is a predicted model, not a curated record.